GAUGAACGCUGGCGGCGUGCCUAAUACAUGCAAGUAGAACGCUGACGGAGGAGCUUUCUCUGCUGGACGAGCUGCGAACGGGUGAGUAACGCGUAGGUAACCUGCCUGGUAGCGGGGGAUAACUAUUGGAAACGAUAGCUAAUAAUGCCUGACAACAGUUCUUGCCUGAUAACUGUUUCACAGGGGCAACUGCCCCACUACCAGAUGGACCUGCGUUGUAUUAGCUAGUUGGUGAGGUAACGGCUCACCAAGGCGCCGAUACAUAGCCGACCUGAGAGGGUGACCGGCAACACUGGAACUGAGAAACGGCCCAGACUCCUACGGGAGGCAGAAGUGGGGAAUAUUGGAAAAUGGGCGAAAGCCUGACGCAGAACUGCCGCGUGGAUGAGGAAGGUCUUCGGGUUGUAAAGUACUUUGAGAGGGGAGGAAGAGUGUGAGGGUAGAAAGUUCACUCUGUGACGGUAUCUGAAGAGAAAGGGACGGCUAACUACGUG
RNAcentral lists this ribosomal RNA (494 nucleotides) under uncultured bacterium. Its description in RNAcentral is "partial 16S ribosomal RNA". It matches the Rfam family "Bacterial small subunit ribosomal RNA", at positions 28 to 507 of the family's 1533-position model. The record is from RNAcentral.